GACGAACCGUCCUAACGUUAUUCGGAAUUACUGGGCUUAAAGCGCGUGUAGGCGGGUCGGCACGUUCGUCGCUGAAAUCCCACGGCUCAACCGUGGAACAGGCGUGAAUACGGCCGACCUGGAGGGGUGUAGGGGGACCUGGAACUUCCGGUGGAGCGGUGAAAUGCGUUGAGAUCGGAAGGAACGCCCGUGGCGAAAGCGAGGUCCUGGACACUUUCUGACGCUGAGACGCGAAAGCCAGGGGAGCAAACAGG
This 254-nucleotide ribosomal RNA is filed under the name uncultured bacterium. RNAcentral's name for it is "partial 16S ribosomal RNA". It matches the Rfam family "Bacterial small subunit ribosomal RNA", at positions 524 to 776 of the family's 1533-position model. The record is from RNAcentral.